This 106-nucleotide small nuclear RNA is filed under the name Propithecus coquereli (Coquerel's sifaka). Lineage: Eukaryota; Metazoa; Chordata; Mammalia; Primates; Indriidae. The record is from RNAcentral.
GUGCUUCUUUGACAGCAUAUAUACUAAAAUUGGAAUAAUACAGAGAAAAUUAACAUGGUCCCUGCACAAGGAUGACAUGCAAAUUUAUGAAGUACUUCAUAUUUUU